Molecule: ribosomal RNA, 253 nt
Filed under: uncultured bacterium
Lineage: Bacteria
Description: partial 16S ribosomal RNA
Rfam family: Bacterial small subunit ribosomal RNA
Source: RNAcentral
UACGUAGGUGGCAAGCGUUGUCCGGAUUUACUGGGCGUAAAGAGCGCGCAGGCGGUCGUUCAAGUCGCGUGUGAAAGCCCCCGGCUCAACUGGGGAGGGUCACGCGAUACUGAUCGACUCGAAGGCAGGAGAGGGUAGUGGAAUUCCCGGUGUAGAGGUGAAAUUCGUAGAUAUCGAGAGGAACACCGGUGGCGAAGGCGGCCAACUGGACGAAUACUGACGCUGAGACACGAAAGCGUGGGGAGCAAACAGG